Molecule: ribosomal RNA, 253 nt
Filed under: uncultured bacterium
Lineage: Bacteria
Description: partial 16S ribosomal RNA
Rfam family: Bacterial small subunit ribosomal RNA
Source: RNAcentral
UACGAAGGGGGCUAGCGUUGCUCGGAAUUACUGGGCGUAAAGGGCGCGUAGGCGGAUAGUUUAGUCAGAGGUGAAAGCCCAGGGCUCAACCUUGGAAUUGCCUUUGAUACUGGCUAUCUUGAGUAUGGAAGAGGUAUGUGGAACUCCGAGUGUAGAGGUGAAAUUCGUAGAUAUUCGGAAGAACACCAGUGGCGAAGGCGACAUACUGGUCCAUUACUGACGCUGAGGCUCGAAAGCGUGGGGAGCAAACAGG